CUACAGGGGUAUCUAAUCCUGUUUGCUCCCCACACUUUCGCACCUCAGCGUCAGUAUCUGGCCAGUGAGCCGCCUUCGCCACUGGUGUUCCUCCGAAUAUCUACGAAUUUCACCUCUACACUCGGAAUUCCACUCACCUCUCCAGAACUCCAGACUACCAGUAUCAAGGGCAGUUCCGGGGUUGAGCCCCGGGAUUUCACCCCUGACUUAAUAGUCCGCCUACGUGCGCUUUACGCCCAGUAAUUCCGAACAACGCUAGUCCCCUCCGUAUUACCGCGGCUGCUGGCAC
Molecule: ribosomal RNA, 289 nt
Filed under: uncultured Paracoccaceae bacterium
Lineage: Bacteria; Pseudomonadati; Pseudomonadota; Alphaproteobacteria; Rhodobacterales; Paracoccaceae
Description: uncultured Rhodobacteraceae bacterium partial 16S ribosomal RNA
Source: RNAcentral